RNAcentral lists this ribosomal RNA (184 nucleotides) under Salmonella enterica. RNAcentral's name for it is "partial 23S ribosomal RNA". It matches the Rfam family "Bacterial large subunit ribosomal RNA", at positions 2746 to 2925 of the family's 2925-position model. The record is from RNAcentral. Lineage: Bacteria; Pseudomonadati; Pseudomonadota; Gammaproteobacteria; Enterobacterales; Enterobacteriaceae.
UAAUAAAUGCGGAAGAGAUAAGUGCUGAAAGCAUCUAAGCACGAAACUUGCCCCGAGAUGAGUUCUCCCUGAGACUUAGAGUCUCCUGAAGGAACGUUGAAGACGACGACGUUGAUAGGCCGGGUGUGUAAGCGCAGCGAUGCGUUGAGCUAACCGGUACUAAUGAACCGUGAGGCUUAACCUU